GAUGAACGCUGGCGGCGUGCCUAAUACAUGCAAGUCGAGCGAACGGACGAGAAGCUUGCUUCUCUGAUGUUAGCGGCGGACGGGUGAGUAACACGUGGAUAACCUACCUAUAAGACUGGGAUAACUUCGGGAAACCGGAGCUAAUACCGGAUAAUAUUUUGAACCGCAUGGUUCAUAAGUGAAAGACGUUCUUGCUGUCACUUAUAGAUGGAUCCGCGCUGCAUUAGCUAGUUGGUAAGGUAACGGCUUACCAAGGCAACGAUGCAUAGCCGACCUGAGAGGGUGAUCGGCCACACUGGAACUGAGACACGGUCCAGACUCCUACGGGAGGCAGCAGUAGGGAAUCUUCCGCAAUGGGCGAAAGCCUGACGGAGCAACGCCGCGUGAGUGAUGAAGGUCUUCGGAUCGUAAAACUCUGUUAUUAGGGAAGAACAUAUGUGUAAGUAACUGUGCACAUCUUGACGGUACCUAAUCAGAAAGCCACGGCUAACUACGUG
RNAcentral lists this ribosomal RNA (497 nucleotides) under uncultured bacterium. Its description in RNAcentral is "partial 16S ribosomal RNA". It matches the Rfam family "Bacterial small subunit ribosomal RNA", at positions 28 to 507 of the family's 1533-position model. The record is from RNAcentral.